GGAUGUGAGGGCGAUCUGGCUGCGACAUGUCACCCCAUUGAUCACCAGGGUUGAUUCGGCUGAUCUGGCUGGCUAGGCAGGUGUCCCCUUCCUCCCUCACUGCUCCAUGUGCGUCCCUCCUGAAGCUGUGCGCUCGGUCGAAGAGGACAGCCUUCCCCGAAUAGAGAUGGACCGGUCUUCGGUCGAGGGUAUACGAGUAGCUGCGCUCCCUGCUAGAACCUCCAAACAAGCUCUUAAGAAAUUAAGAUGAAUACUCUUCCAAGGAAUGCCACUUCUUAUAACUGAACAUCUGGUACCUACACUACUCCAGUUCUUCUUCUUCUAGUGUUUGCCACU
Molecule: small nuclear RNA, 336 nt
Filed under: Erinaceus europaeus (western European hedgehog)
Lineage: Eukaryota; Metazoa; Chordata; Mammalia; Eulipotyphla; Erinaceidae
Description: 7SK RNA (ENSEEUG00000019323.1)
Rfam family: 7SK RNA
About the family: 7SK was discovered as an abundant small nuclear RNA in the mid-70s but a possible function has only recently been suggested. Two independent studies have found that 7SK RNA binds the CDK9/cyclin T complex (known as elongation factor P-TEFb).
Source: RNAcentral